UGAAGACUCAAGGGCAUCCAACAUCAACACUUCCUGAAGGUGAUCUCUGAUGAACUGAUCUUUGUUCCUCCAGCUUGGCUCAACCUGUACUGAUUUGAAAUUAGCCUGGAGGAACUGAGAAAAACCAACAAAAACCUCAGUCAAGAUAACCUAUGUUUGGGCUGAGAUUUGAACACAAGACUUCUCAUGUCAAAGUGGUAGUGCUACCAACAAAGCUGCAACAUUGAAUGUUAUUUAAUAUAAAAUAAGAUGAUCAGGGUAGGAAAACUUUAAAAAGCUAGGGAAGAAAUAUUCAUAUUUUAAGGAAUUAUCUCAGAUUCUAACCAAUAACACGAGGAAAUCCAUGAGAGAUAUUAGUCAGGACAGAAGAUAUCUUAAACCAAGUGCCCAGGAGUCUUGAAUUUAGCAUUCUUUGAAUACAGAUGAUAUAAUUUACCAGUCACUCAGCUGUAACAUUAUGAUGUGACACCAAAAAUGACUGACCAAGUCAAAAUGCAUCUACUAGUGAAUUUAUUUUAAAAAAAUUGUCAUGGAUUCUGCAACACUGUCUGUUGAAGCUGUUCCAUAUUUUACCUUACACUUUUGCAGUCAUAUAAUCAGGCAGUAAAUGUCGGUCGUUAUCUGGUGCCAUAAUGGAAGUAAGACUAGAAUGUGAAUCACGGGGCUAUCCAGAGGAGAGGGAGGAUGUGGUUAACCCACUGACUGCCAAGCCCUGCCAUAGAUGUACCUGCUAGAAAUGACAUGGCCACUUGGGGAAAAUGCUGUUGGAGCGGGAGUCUGCAAAUUACUUCCAAAUAGUCUCAUCUGUAGAUAGCAGUGGGGCCUGAUCUUUCCUUUCACCAUCUGUAAAUCACCCCUGAUGCCAUCUAUUGAACGAAAUGCUCUACUAAGUAAUUAUUAAUGAGCAAAUCUCUUUUGCUGCAGCUAUUUUAACAUAAACACACCGAAUUGGCUCAUAUGUACAGAGGAUUAAAGAUUAGAGGAAAGGAAGUGUACCAAGACUUUGCUGAGUUUUGACUGCCUUCACAAUUAAAGUUGUGAGGGUGUUACUAUUUCAAUGGCUUCUUUGAUGAUCUGGGGAAAGUAAGUGUGGAUCUUUCUUAGGGCUUCAAUUUUAUCAAAUUCAAUGCUGUGUUUGGUCUUGGUUACUGCUGAGCAUUGGUUUUCUAGUUUGGCUCCACUGUUGUGUUCCAGUAUUCCAAUGGAGAUGUGACAGCUGGUUUGACAAAUGUACACUCUUCUCCAGAUGUAGAGGAUCUUCAAAAAAAAAAAAAAACAACUCUUGGUACAAAAAUCCAAGGUUUAUAAAUGUCGCCAUUGAAACUGUAAAUCAUCCCCAUAAUUUCAAGCAUAAAAAUGAAAACAAACUGAGCAAAGUAUGGCCCCACCUCUUUCCCUUCCUACUUGCUUCAUAACUACAUAGCUACUUCCAAUUGGAUACCACUAUGCUCAAAACCCCUACCCAUACAACCAUUCUGAGACCUACAUAUCAUUCCACUUCCUACCUCCACCCUAUUUGCAGUGAAGAGCCUGACUGUUACACAUACUGAAAUAAUAUAACAGCUUCAACAAACAAUGUCCAUGGACCUCAAAAACCAAAAUUACAUACAUGAUUACUCUACACUUCCUUGCUACA
Cryptotermes secundus is the source of this 1636-nucleotide long non-coding RNA. RefSeq lists it as uncharacterized. The transcript has 3 exons. The record is from RefSeq and is a predicted model, not a curated record. Lineage: Eukaryota; Metazoa; Arthropoda; Insecta; Blattodea; Kalotermitidae.